RNAcentral lists this transfer RNA (69 nucleotides) under Pungitius hellenicus. Its description in RNAcentral is "tRNA-Arg". It matches the Rfam family "tRNA". Rfam says of the family: Transfer RNA (tRNA) molecules are approximately 80 nucleotides in length. Their secondary structure includes four short double-helical elements and three loops (D, anti-codon, and T loops). Further hydrogen bonds mediate the characteristic L-shaped molecular structure. tRNAs have two regions of fundamental functional importance: the anti-codon, which is responsible for specific mRNA codon recognition, and the 3' end, to which the tRNAs corresponding amino acid is attached (by aminoacyl-tRNA synthetases). tRNAs cope with the degeneracy of the genetic code in two manners: having more than one tRNA (with a specific anti-codon) for a particular amino acid; and 'wobble' base-pairing, i.e. permitting non-standard base-pairing at the 3rd anti-codon position. The record is from RNAcentral. Lineage: Eukaryota; Metazoa; Chordata; Actinopteri; Perciformes; Gasterosteidae.
AGGAAGUUAGUUUAAAUAAAACCUUUGAUUUCGGCUCAAAAACCUGUGGUUAAAGUCCACAACUGCCUA